AACGCAAAUUGCACUCUCUGGUACUCCGGAGAGUAUGCCUAUUUGAGGGUCGGUUUAAAUAAAUAUCGGGGUGUUCUUGCCGAACACGUCGGAAUUGGGUGAUCUCGAACCUUCGAGUUUGAGUGACCUAAAAUUUAUCAUCACUUCGGUAUGAUUGCGUACUUAAAUUCGUCGCUUGAAAUACCGAAAAGUAUUUAUUUGGACGUAACCAUCCAUUGUGAUGACAUUAUGUCUAUAAUUUUCGAAUUUCGACCUCAAAUUAGGUAAGAGUACCCGCUGAACUUAA
This 286-nucleotide unclassified non-coding RNA is filed under the name uncultured Glomerales. Its description in RNAcentral is "sequence contains 5.8S rRNA gene, ITS2, 28S rRNA gene". Lineage: Eukaryota; Fungi; Glomeromycota; Glomeromycetes; Glomerales; Glomeraceae. The record is from RNAcentral.